RNAcentral lists this small RNA (447 nucleotides) under Pongo abelii (Sumatran orangutan). Its description in RNAcentral is "processed transcript". The record is from RNAcentral. Lineage: Eukaryota; Metazoa; Chordata; Mammalia; Primates; Hominidae.
UGAUGGUUUUUGAAAUCAGGAUUACCCCAGGAAGAACCAGGCCCACACAGGCAACCCAUUCCCAUCCAAAGCCAUUGGUGGAGCUUCUCUGGAAUCAUUUGCCAAAAGCCCAAGGCAGAAUCCAAGGGUCCAAGACCAUUUCCAUGGAGCUCAUGUUUUUCUUUUCUGUAGGAACUUUUUUUUAACCAGCACCCACCAUAAUUCCGAAGGCCAUGUUUCAUCUUUCCUGGAUCACUACAGUGAAGUAUUACAGUUGUACAGUUCCCAGUCUGGCCUUGGCUUGCUCGGAUAAAACUUUGUAUGUAUUUUGUAUGGCAUAGAUUCUAUAUUGUAAUGAUGUCCUAUGCAAAAAGAAAAAUUAACGAAAUUGUAAAUUUUAUUGUUUUAACGUGUAUGCAUGUUUAGUGACGUUUACAUUUUGAAAUAAAAUUUAUGAUUCAUUAUUUU